CGUGUAGAUGGCUUUUUAAGUCAGCUGUGAAAUCUCCUGGCUCAACCGGGAGAGGUCAGUUGAUACUGAGGAGCUUGAGGGCAGCAGAGGAAGAUGGAAUUCCCGGUGUAGUGGUGAAAUGCGUAGAUAUCGGGAGGAACACCAGUGGCGAAGGCGGUCUUCUGGGCUGUUUCUGACAUUGAGGCGCGAAAGCGUGGGGAGUGAAGCGGAUCAGAUACCCGCGUAAUCCACGCUAUAAACGGUGGAUACUAGGUAUGGGGGGUAUCGACCCUCUCCGUGCCGCAGCUAACGUUUAAGUAUCCCGCCUGGGGACUACGGCCGCAAGGUUAAA
RNAcentral lists this ribosomal RNA (331 nucleotides) under uncultured bacterium. Its description in RNAcentral is "bacterial SSU rRNA". It matches the Rfam family "Bacterial small subunit ribosomal RNA", at positions 568 to 898 of the family's 1533-position model. The record is from RNAcentral.